RNAcentral lists this ribosomal RNA (280 nucleotides) under uncultured bacterium. Its description in RNAcentral is "partial 16S ribosomal RNA". It matches the Rfam family "Bacterial small subunit ribosomal RNA", at positions 28 to 292 of the family's 1533-position model. The record is from RNAcentral.
AGUGAACGCUGGCGGCAGGCCUAACACAUGCAAGUCGAGCGGCAGCGGGUCCCCACGAGGGGAUGCCGGCGAGCGGCGGACGGGUGAGGAACACAUCGGAAUCUGCCUGGUUGUGGGGGAUAACGCAGGGAAACUUACGCUAAUACCGCAUGCGACCCUGAGUCGACGGACUUGGGGUGAAAGUGAGGGACCUUCGGGCCUCACGCGACCAGAUGAGCCGAUGUCGGAUUAGCUAGUUGGCGGGGUAACGGCCCGCCAAGGCGACGAUCCGUAGCUGGUC